Gambusia affinis (western mosquitofish) is the source of this 1412-nucleotide long non-coding RNA. RefSeq lists it as uncharacterized. The record is from RefSeq and is a predicted model, not a curated record. Lineage: Eukaryota; Metazoa; Chordata; Actinopteri; Cyprinodontiformes; Poeciliidae. The transcript has 3 exons.
UUCUGUAACUGCCCCCAAAAGGCAGUUUUCGCAGAACACCGGCGCAUUUCAAAGCUAGUUUAACGGCCAAUGUUUUAAUGCAAAAUAAUAACAAUAAUAAUAAUAAUGUAAUACGGAAAAUAUUUAAGAAGCGAAAGCUGAUAUUUAAGCCGUAAACAAAUCUUUAACUUACACUUUACCCUCUUUGACACAAGAUGGCGCCUUGGCGGUUGAAACGUUGUUUGAACUCAGCCGAAGAAGAAGCGGGAGCGUCUAAGUAAACAGACCCAGCGGAACAUGGAGAGUCUCAGCCGGGGGACCGUGGACAGGAUUUAUUCUGCGGUCCUACUGGGUCUGGUGGUUCUGUCCUGGUCUUAUGUGAUCUACGCCAGCAGGAUCGCAGCUUAUUGGCUGCUGGAGAAACGGACCGGCCUGCUGCAGGAGGACUGACGGCGCCGCUGCAGGUUGGUGCUGGGAGAUGUUCUGGUUCUGGACCAGAAACUACCAGCUACAGGAAUGAACCAACAGAAUUAUUCUGGAAACCACGACUGGCAGUUUAUUGUUACAGCGUCCAGUGGACCCGGAGGAGAUGUUCUGGAGAACCGCAGCCUGAGAAGAGCUGAGAGUCCAGCAGGUUUCUGGAUCAGAACUGACAACGAAUCCAGGUCUGAACAGAAACCAAGAGAAGAUUCAGUUUAAACUGAAACUUUAAAAUGAUUCAGUUCAAACUGAAAGUUUAAAAUAAUUCAGUUCAAACUUAAACUUUAAAAUGAUUCAGUUCAAACUGAAACUUUAAAAUGAUUCAGUUUAAACUGAAACUUUAAAAUGAUUCAGUUCAAACUGAAACUUUAAAAUGAUUCAGUUCAAACUGAGGAAGACAGAAACUUCUUCAAUUCAUCGUUCAGUUUGGAUUCAGAGGUUCACUGAUCCGAUGAUCUGCAGCCGUUCAGAUCUGUGAAUCUUUGUUUGUCUAUUAGUUUGAAGAACAAAAAAAAACCAUUUUCAGUAAAAAUGUCUUCACUAAAACUGAAAUCAAUUAGUUUGGAGGAAACGUUUCAGUUAAACUGCACUGUUUGAGGAUAUUUAAUUAUUACCUCAAAGGUUGUUUAUUUUUAACAGAAGACUGUUAAGAGAAGUCGAGUGGCUGAAAACCUUUAAAGUUGUUUGUGACACAAAGUUUGCCAGAAUAAAUGAAACCUGUGAAAACAAACCGCAGUCAGGAUGUUGGACACGAUGAUGAUGAUGAUGAUGAUGAUGAUGAUGAUGAUGAUGAUGAUGAUGAUGUUGGACAUAAAUUUGUCAGCUAAAAUGUUAGAUUUGUUCUUUGAGUUCAUGUUUAUAUGAAACAUAAUUAAUGAUUUUAACGAUAGAAGUAAAACAAAACAAGUUCAUGUAAACAUUUCCAGAUCUGUUCAUUAAAAUGUUUCUGUUGA